GUAUUGCUGAAGAGUCGCAAACUGGGACGAAACAGUUUUCCAGUAC
Molecule: non-coding RNA, 46 nt
Filed under: Trichobilharzia regenti
Lineage: Eukaryota; Metazoa; Platyhelminthes; Trematoda; Strigeidida; Schistosomatidae
Source: RNAcentral